GCGCCUGUAGUUCAGUUGAUAGAGCAUCUAUUUUCAAACUGAAGGUCGUAGGUUCGACCCUCCCUAGCGCG
Molecule: non-coding RNA, 71 nt
Organism: Nicotiana attenuata
Lineage: Eukaryota; Viridiplantae; Streptophyta; Magnoliopsida; Solanales; Solanaceae
Source: Rfam